GAGUCGGACCUGCCCAGUGAAUAACUUUUUAACGGCCGCGGUACUCUGACCGUGCAAAGGUAGCAUAAUCAUUUGCCCUAUAAUUGAGGGCUAGUAUGAAUGGUUUGACGUGAACAAGACUGUCUCUAUGUAAUUUUUUAGAAUUUGAUUUCUAGGUGAAGAAACCUAGAUAGUAUUGAAAGACAAGAAGACCCUAUUGAGCUUUAGAUAAAUAAAUUGAGAACAAUAGUAUAAAUUUAGAUAUUAAUCUAUUUAACAUUUUGGUUGGGGCGACUAUGGAACAAAUAAAGCUUCUUUAAUAUUAAAAGAUCGUCAGAUUUUGAUCCAGAAAUUCUGAUUAAUGAAAUUAGUUACCAUAGGGAUAACAGCAUAAUUCUCUUUGAGAGCUCUUAUCGAAAAGGGAGUUUGUGACCUCGAUGUUGGACUAGAAUAUCCUAAAGAUGCAGCAGUCUUUAAGGGUUGGUC
This 465-nucleotide ribosomal RNA is filed under the name Raybaudia porteri. Its description in RNAcentral is "Lyncina porteri partial 16S large subunit ribosomal RNA". It matches the Rfam family "Bacterial large subunit ribosomal RNA", at positions 1850 to 2577 of the family's 2925-position model. The record is from RNAcentral. Lineage: Eukaryota; Metazoa; Mollusca; Gastropoda; Littorinimorpha; Cypraeidae.